Molecule: transfer RNA, 64 nt
Filed under: Ruspolia yunnana
Lineage: Eukaryota; Metazoa; Arthropoda; Insecta; Orthoptera; Tettigoniidae
Description: tRNA-Cys
Source: RNAcentral
GACCUUAUAGUCAAAAAUGAUAUUAGACUGCAAUUCUAAAGGAGUAGACUGUCUACUAAGGUUU